This 386-nucleotide ribosomal RNA is filed under the name uncultured eukaryote. RNAcentral's name for it is "partial 18S ribosomal RNA". It matches the Rfam family "Eukaryotic small subunit ribosomal RNA", at positions 592 to 975 of the family's 1831-position model. The record is from RNAcentral.
CAAUAGCGUAUAUUAAAGUUGUUGCAGUUAAAAAGCUCGUAGUUGGAUUUCUGGUGGGAGCUGCCGGUCCGUCGCGCAAGCGACGCGUUUACUGUUGCAGGAUCCAGCCAUCCUCGGGGAGAGCGUCGCUGGCAUUAGGUUGUCGGCGUCGGGAUCCCCGUCCGUCACUGUGAGUAAACUAGAGUGUUCAAAGCAGGCUUAGGCCGUUGAAUACGUUAGCAUGGAAUGAUAAGAUAGGACCUUGGGUCUAUUUUGUUGGUUUGCGGUCCAAGGUAAUGAUUAAUAGGGAUAGUUGGGGGUAUUCGUAUUCAAUUGUCAGAGGUGAAAUUCUUGGAUUUAUCGAAGACGAACUACUGCGAAAGCAUUUACCAAGGAUGUUUUCAUUA